CCUACGGGAGGCAGCAGUGAGGAAUAUUGGACAAUGGGCGCGAGCCUGAACCAGCCAAGUAGCGUGAAGGAUGACUGCCCUCCGGGUUGUAAACUUCUUCUACAAAGGAAUAAAGUUAGGCAUGUGUGCCUUUUUGUAUGUACUUUAAGAAUAAGGAUCGGCUAACUCCGUGCCAGCAGCCGCGGUACUACGUAGGAUCCGAGCGUUCUCCGGAUUUAUUGGGUUUAAAGGGAGCGUAGAGGGGUUGUUAAGUCAGUUGUGAAAGUUUGCGGCUCAACCGUAAAAUUGCAAUUGAUACUGGCAGUCUUGAGUACAGUUGAGGUAGGCGGAAUUCGUGGUGUAGCGGUGAAAUGCUUAGAUAACACGAAGAACUCCGAUUGCGAAGGCAGCUUACUAAACUGCCACUGACAUUGAUGCUCGAAAGUGUGGGUAUCAAACAGGAUUAGAUACCCUUGUAGUC
This 460-nucleotide ribosomal RNA is filed under the name uncultured bacterium. RNAcentral's name for it is "partial 16S ribosomal RNA". It matches the Rfam family "Bacterial small subunit ribosomal RNA", at positions 338 to 795 of the family's 1533-position model. The record is from RNAcentral.